This 420-nucleotide ribosomal RNA is filed under the name bacterium. RNAcentral describes it as "partial 16S ribosomal RNA". It matches the Rfam family "Bacterial small subunit ribosomal RNA", at positions 355 to 776 of the family's 1533-position model. The record is from RNAcentral.
UGGGGGAUAUUGCACAAUGGGCGAAAGCCUGAUGCAGCGACGCCGCGUGGGGGAUGAAGGCUUUCGGGUUGUAAACCUCUUUCGCUAUCGAACAAGGCCCGCUUAGGGUGGGUUGAGGGUAGGUGGAGAAGAAGCGCCGGCUAACUACGUGCCAGCAGCCGCGGUAAUACGUAGGGCGCGAGCGUUGUCCGGAAUGAUUGGGCGUAAAGGGCUUGUAGGCGGCUUGUUGCGCCUGCUGUGAAAACGCGGGGCUUAACUUCGCGCGUGCAGUGGGUACGGGCAGGCUUGAGUGUGGUAGGGGUGACUGGAAUUCCAGGUGUAGCGGUGGAAUGCGCAGAUAUCUGGAGGAACACCGAUGGCGAAGGCAGGUCACUGGGCCAUUACUGACGCUGAGGAGCGAAAGCAUGGGUAGCGAACAGG